RNAcentral lists this ribosomal RNA (496 nucleotides) under uncultured bacterium. RNAcentral describes it as "partial 16S ribosomal RNA". It matches the Rfam family "Bacterial small subunit ribosomal RNA", at positions 29 to 507 of the family's 1533-position model. The record is from RNAcentral.
AUGAACGCUGGCGGCGUGCCUAAUACCUGCCAGUCGAGCGAACAGAUGAGGAGCUUGCUCCUCUGACGUUAGCGGCGGACGGGUGAGUAACACGUGGAUAACCUACCUAUAAGACUGGGAUAACUUCGGGAAACCGGAGCUAAUACCGGAUAAUAUAUUGAACCGCAUGGUUCCAUAGUGAAAGACGGUUUUGCUGUCACUUAUAGAUGGAUCCGCGCCGCAUUAGCUAGUUGGUAAGGUAACGGCUUACCAAGGCAACGAUGCGUAGCCGACCUGAGAGGGUGAUCGGCCACACUGGAACUGAGACACGGUCCAGACUCCUACGGGAGGCAGCAGUAGGGAAUCUUCCGCAAUGGGCGAAAGCCUGACGGAGCAACGCCGCGUGAGUGAUGAAGGUCUUCGGAUCGUAAAACUCUGUUAUUAGGGAAGAACAAAUGUGUAAGUAACUAUGCACGUCUUGACGGUACCUAAUCAGAAAGCCACGGCUAACUACGUG